RNAcentral lists this transfer RNA (65 nucleotides) under Euastacus yarraensis (Yarra cray). Its description in RNAcentral is "tRNA-Ile". The record is from RNAcentral. Lineage: Eukaryota; Metazoa; Arthropoda; Malacostraca; Decapoda; Parastacidae.
AAGUAUGAUGCCUGAAUAAAGGGUAGUUUUGAUAGAACUAAUCAAGUAGAAUACCUACUCAUACU